GCAACCCUUCCAUUUUCGAGCAACAUUCGAAACUCAAGAUAUACAACUCGUCACUAACAUUCAAAAAUUCCAUCAACACACCAUAAAACUCUCGAUCAAGAAUCUCCAGAGAAAACAAAGCUAUAAUACUCAAGAGAAAAUGGCAGCGAGAAACCAACCUGGAAGAAAUCAAACCAAAGACCUUAAGUGUGCAACACAUCUCUUAAGUGAUAAAUUCAGAAACAUGAGUGAGGAGAAGAAAACAAUUGUGAGGGAUUUGGGAUUCGGUGGCUUGAUGCACAUCCCGCCACUAAGGGU
Arachis duranensis is the source of this 297-nucleotide long non-coding RNA. RefSeq lists it as uncharacterized. The record is from RefSeq and is a predicted model, not a curated record. The transcript has 3 exons. Lineage: Eukaryota; Viridiplantae; Streptophyta; Magnoliopsida; Fabales; Fabaceae.